UAUUAGAGAACCGUUUGGAGAUGAACCGCGGAUGUGUUGAACGUUGAUGGAGCUACAGACUGAAUGAAGACAGAAGGUGAGCGAGGCCUGAGUGAUAGAGCCAGAACCUUUCAUCUCACCCAGUUGUGCUGGACAGUUGAAACCAUUCAUGAAAGACAUCAGUACUGAGUCCUGCUCCACAGCCUCCUAACCAGGUAAUAGGAAAUGGCACUGACCCCUCCUGAUCCCCCCGAUUACCUUUGUGAAGCGUGAAUGUGGUAUGGAAUCACACAUCAGGAGACGAGUUGUAAUUAUUUUUGCGAUGCCAUCAGCAUGGAUCAAUCACUCAGGGAGGCUGCUAGUGGAACGCCGCUCGCAGCCAUGGACGGAGCCAGCAGCGACCCUCUUUGAC
Long non-coding RNA from Epinephelus fuscoguttatus (brown-marbled grouper), 391 nucleotides. RefSeq lists it as uncharacterized. NCBI's taxonomy places the organism in Eukaryota, Metazoa, Chordata, Actinopteri, Perciformes, Serranidae. The transcript is spliced from 4 exons. The record is from RefSeq and is a predicted model, not a curated record.